This 545-nucleotide ribosomal RNA is filed under the name uncultured bacterium. RNAcentral describes it as "partial 16S ribosomal RNA". It matches the Rfam family "Bacterial small subunit ribosomal RNA", at positions 355 to 889 of the family's 1533-position model. The record is from RNAcentral.
UGGGGAAUUUUGGACAAUGGGCGAAAGCCUGAUCCAGCAAUGCCGCGUGUGUGAAGAAGGCCUUCGGGUUGUAAAGCACUUUUGUCCGGAAAGAAAUCCUUGGCUCUAAUACAGUCGGGGGAUGACGGUACCGGAAGAAUAAGCACCGGCUAACUACGUGCCAGCAGCCGCGGUAAUACGUAGGGUGCAAGCGUUAAUCGGAAUUACUGGGCGUAAAGCGUGCGCAGGGCGGUUUGCUAAGACCGAUGUGAAAUCCCCGGGCUCAACCUGGGAACUGCAUUGGUGACUGGCAGGCUAGAGUAUGGCAGAGGGGGGUAGAAUUCCACGUGUAGCAGUGAAAUGCGUAGAGAUGUGGAGGAAUACCGAUGGCGAAGGCAGCCCCCUGGGCCAAAUACUGACGCUCAUGCACGAAAAGCGUGGGGAGCAAAACAGGAUUAGAUACCCUGGUAGUCCACGCCCUAAAACGAUGUCAACUAGUUGUUGGGGAUUCAUUCCUUAGUAACGUAGCUAACGCGUGAAGUUGACCGCCUGGGGAGUACGGUCGC